GACGAACGCUGGCGGCGUGCUUAACACAUGCAAGUCGAGCGGUAAGGCCCCUUCGGGGUACGACGAGCGGCGAACGGGUGAGUAACACGUGGGUGACCUGCCCUCAGCUCUGGGAUAAGCCUGGGAAACUGGGUCUAAUACCGGAUAUGACUCCAUGACGCAUGUCGUGGGGUGGAAAGCCUUGUGCGGCUGGGGGAUGGGCCCGCGGCCUAUCAGCUUGUUGGUGGGGUGAGGCCUACCAAGGCGACGACGGGUAGCCGGCCUGAGAGGGCGACCGGCCACACUGGGACUGAGACACGGCCCAGACUCCUACGGGAGGCAGCAGUGGGGAAUCUUGCGCAAUGGGCGAAAGCCUGACGCAGCGACGCCGCGUGA
RNAcentral lists this ribosomal RNA (375 nucleotides) under uncultured bacterium. RNAcentral describes it as "bacterial SSU rRNA". It matches the Rfam family "Bacterial small subunit ribosomal RNA", at positions 28 to 404 of the family's 1533-position model. The record is from RNAcentral.